CUGACUCGGUCUACAGUUUCUCUGAUGUUCUUGAGAGAUGUAAACAGGAAGAAGUUGCGAGCAAGGCAAGAUAUUUUGACAAGAUGAAAAGUGAAGCCGAGAAUUGCAGCUUAACGCAAGGUGAUAAACUCUGCAAUGAGAAAAAAUGGAGUUUGAGGGUGCAACUUAUACAAAGGCAUGUCCUUCAUUGCUUAAACUAGAAUGCUUGGCUUUUCUAGUCUGUGUUUUAGCACCUAUCUUAGUUGCUUUUUAAUGGCUGUGUACCUUCAAAGAAGGCAAUAACAAGAAGAAGCAGCAGAGCUCGUGGGAGGAAGAGAGCUGCACAAGAGAUUCCCCUGCCUUGAUAAUUUAGAUUUUGCAGAAGAAGAAUGGCUGAAGAACAACUUUACCAGCAGAUGUACCAGCUAGGAGAUGUGCUCAACGAAGCCACUG
Molecule: long non-coding RNA, 432 nt
Organism: Brassica oleracea var. oleracea
Lineage: Eukaryota; Viridiplantae; Streptophyta; Magnoliopsida; Brassicales; Brassicaceae
Exons: 3
Source: RefSeq, a predicted model, not a curated record